AACCAACAGGCCAGUCUCUCGAUCUGCUGGUCAGUCCUCGUUCCUUCUCUCACCUAUGGUCAUGAGGGUUGGGUCAUGACUGUAAGAACGAGAUCGCGGGUACAAGUGGCUGAAAUGAGUUUCCUCAGGAGGUUGGCUGGUGCCCACCUUAGAGAUAGGGUGAGAAGCUCGGUCAUUCGUGGGGA
Thalassophryne amazonica is the source of this 185-nucleotide long non-coding RNA. RefSeq lists it as uncharacterized. The record is from RefSeq and is a predicted model, not a curated record. The transcript has 3 exons. Lineage: Eukaryota; Metazoa; Chordata; Actinopteri; Batrachoidiformes; Batrachoididae.